Non-coding RNA from Nelumbo nucifera (sacred lotus), 74 nucleotides. NCBI's taxonomy places the organism in Eukaryota, Viridiplantae, Streptophyta, Magnoliopsida, Proteales, Nelumbonaceae. The record is from Rfam.
GCUUUCAUAGCUCACUUGGUUAGAGCACCCGUUUAGUAAGCGGGAGGUCUUGAAUUCAAAUCUCAAUGAAAGCA